AGAGUUUGAUCCUGGCUCAGAAUCAACGCUGGCGGCGUGCCUCAGACAUGCAAGUCGAACGCGAAAGCCUCCUUCGGGGGGCAAGUAGAGUGGCGCACGGGUGAGUAACACGUAGGUAAUCUACCUUUGGAUUGGGAAUAACCACCGGAAACGGUGGCUAAUACCGAAUAAUGCAGCGGCACCUAAUGGUGACAGUUGUUAAAGCGGGGGAUCGAAAGACCUCGCGUCUGAAGAGGAGCCUGCGGCAGAUUAGCUAGUUGGUAAGGUAACGGCUUACCAAGGCGAUGAUCUGUAGCCGGCCUGAGAGGGCGGUCGGCCACACUGACACUGACAUACGGGUCAGACUCCUACGGGAGGCAGCAGUCGGGAAUUUUGGGCAAUGGGCGAAAGCCUGACCCAGCAACGCCGCGUGAAGAAUGAAAUCCUUCGGGAUGUAAACUUCGCAAGAACGGGAAGAAUAAGUAAGGGUUAAUAUCUCUUACGAUGACGGUACUGUUUGUAAGCUCCGGCUAACUCCUGCCAGCAGCCGCGGUA
Molecule: ribosomal RNA, 534 nt
Filed under: uncultured Acidobacteriota bacterium
Lineage: Bacteria; Pseudomonadati; Acidobacteriota
Description: bacterial SSU rRNA
Rfam family: Bacterial small subunit ribosomal RNA
Source: RNAcentral